CCUACGGGUGGCAGCAGUGAGGAAUAUUGGUCAAUGGACGAGAGUCUGAACCAGCCAAGUAGCGUGAAGGAUGACUGCCCUAUGGGUUGUAAACUUCUGUUAUAGGGGAAUAAAAUGUUGCACGUGUGGGAUUUUGUAUGUACCAUAUGAAUAAGGAUCGGCUAACUCCGUGCCAGCAGCCGCGGUAAUACGGAGGAUCCGAGCGUUAUCCGGAUUUAGGGGGUUUAAAGGGAGCGUAGGGGGAUUGUUAAGUCAGUUGUGACCGUUUGCGGCUCAACCGUAAAAUUGCAGUUGAUACUGGCAGUCUUGCGUACCGUAGCGGUGGGCGGAAUUCUUGUUGUAGCGGUGACAUGCUUAGAUCUCACG
RNAcentral lists this ribosomal RNA (366 nucleotides) under uncultured bacterium. RNAcentral describes it as "partial 16S ribosomal RNA". It matches the Rfam family "Bacterial small subunit ribosomal RNA", at positions 338 to 701 of the family's 1533-position model. The record is from RNAcentral.